This 77-nucleotide transfer RNA is filed under the name Vibrio sp. 99-8-1. RNAcentral's name for it is "tRNA-Pro". It matches the Rfam family "tRNA". From Rfam's summary of the family: Transfer RNA (tRNA) molecules are approximately 80 nucleotides in length. Their secondary structure includes four short double-helical elements and three loops (D, anti-codon, and T loops). RNAcentral also lists the same sequence under 1 other name. Lineage: Bacteria; Pseudomonadati; Pseudomonadota; Gammaproteobacteria; Vibrionales; Vibrionaceae. The record is from RNAcentral.
CGGACAUUAGCGCAGCUUGGUAGCGCACAUCUCUGGGGGAGAUGGGGUCACAGGUUCAAAUCCUGUAUGUCCGACCA